AAACCAUGGUUGGGAGAUCUUACCAAAUAUAAUUUGAAACGAUCCCAUGCCUCAUAUAGAUGUUCUCCUGGUACUUGCUUGAAAAAGAAGAUUUUAUCUUUGAGCUC
Molecule: non-coding RNA, 107 nt
Organism: Nicotiana sylvestris (wood tobacco)
Lineage: Eukaryota; Viridiplantae; Streptophyta; Magnoliopsida; Solanales; Solanaceae
Source: Rfam